RNAcentral lists this long non-coding RNA (551 nucleotides) under Manacus vitellinus (golden-collared manakin). RNAcentral's name for it is "lncRNA (ENSMVIG00005015668.1)". The record is from RNAcentral. Lineage: Eukaryota; Metazoa; Chordata; Aves; Passeriformes; Pipridae.
GAGGGCGCGGGCAGGGCCGCACCUGGGCCGGGCCGCCGCGGGAGGGAGGUGCGGCGGGCGGAGGUGGGAGCGCAGCCGGGCAGGGGAGGGCUGUCCCGGCUGCUCCCGGGAGCUGCUGCUGGGCGGGACGGAGCUCAGCGCUCCCCUCAGGAAGUUAUUUUAGAACGAAAGAAUACAUCUGAGAAACAAGAUGUCUCCUGCCGGCAGUCAGUACCAAGAUAAGCAAUACAGGCACCAUGAGAACCAUAGAUCCGACAGAUACAAAGAAGACAGAAGAGCGAGAAAACCAUACCAAAACAAUGCAAGAUCAACAGAAGACAUUCGAGGUGGCCAGCACUCAAGAACUUCUACUGUCUGCUCAGACCAUUAUUCUAAAACCUCAGGAGCAGCACGGGAGUAUUUUGGCCCACAACCAGAGUUUUAUCCUCCCAAGGAAACCUUCUCAAUGAAGUGUUCAAAGGUAUGCACAACAAGAGGUAUGUGAGACUCUUACUGCCUGCCAUCCACCCCUCUCCUUCCAAGGACUUGUCUUGUUUUUGGUUUCUGUGUUU